GCGACCACAGGUCAGGUGGGCCACCCACCA
RNAcentral lists this ribosomal RNA (30 nucleotides) under Mauritiella armata. RNAcentral describes it as "partial 26S ribosomal RNA". The record is from RNAcentral. Lineage: Eukaryota; Viridiplantae; Streptophyta; Magnoliopsida; Arecales; Arecaceae.